ACCAUGACAAACAAAGAAAGCUACAAUGGGCAGGAUUCGUCGUUGUGGAAGGAAAAUCGGUGCUCGUAGACAAGGAGCGAGGGGGGUAGCCAAGAUAUUGGUCAUGAAGUUUGCAGCCUAAUUUCUCUCUCAGGAUAUGAAUGGCAUGACUUGCUGGAAAUUCCUCAGCACGUCCCGCUAGCAGGAUGUUGGGCGGUUGCAAGUAUAUUAUCCAAUUAUGCACAAAAAUCUCUAUACUCCCAAGAAAAAAAAUUUUGUUGUGUUAUACCAAAGUAUACCAGAAUUUAUCAAGAAAUAUACCAAAAUUUGUGUCAUGUCGCCUUAAUUGCUAAUAAAUUGACUCCUAGCUAGCUAAUUUAUAUAUGAGAUGUCAAGUCGGUAUAAAGUAUGAAAAUUCUUGAUUACGUACAUGCAUGUUCCAACAGUAGUUGUCUAUCAUAACUUAAAGAUACUUACAAAAUGUAACUUAUCUUAGGAUCUUACAAAAGAAUGAAACAAAAUAUGUAGAUAUUUUUUUAUGAAAUACUAAAUUAGGCUUUACUAAUCUAGUUCUUGACUCAAAGUUGUUUCAAAAGUAAAAUCAUAACUAACUUCUAUUUUCGUGCUAUCAAAAAAUAAAAGCACAUUCCCAGAAUUUUGCAUUCUUGUCUUUUUCUUCUUAAUCAAAUGCCUCCUAGAUUUUGUAUAUGCAUUUAAAAUAGGUUUCAUGUUCAUCAUCUUAAACUUUUAUGUAGCUUCUAAUUUAUUAGUUAGACUUAACCAUUGUUUCCUUUUCUUUUUUGCAUCAUCCAAUAUUGUGGCAUACUUGGUACAACUUUACAAGCAUCAAA
Molecule: long non-coding RNA, 830 nt
Filed under: Phoenix dactylifera (date palm)
Lineage: Eukaryota; Viridiplantae; Streptophyta; Magnoliopsida; Arecales; Arecaceae
Description: long non-coding RNA (PDAC_LNC002126)
Source: RNAcentral